This 260-nucleotide ribosomal RNA is filed under the name uncultured bacterium. Its description in RNAcentral is "partial 16S ribosomal RNA". It matches the Rfam family "Bacterial small subunit ribosomal RNA", at positions 95 to 353 of the family's 1533-position model. The record is from RNAcentral.
CCGGCGCACGGGUGAGUAACACGUAUCCAACCUGCCGUCUACUCUUGGACAGCCUUCUGAAAGGAAGAUUAAUACAAGAUGGCAUCAUGAGUCCGCAUGUUCACAUGAUUAAAGGUAUUCCGGUAGACGAUGGGGAUGCGUUCCAUUAGAUAGUAGGCGGGGUAACGGCCCACCUAGUCUUCGAUGGAUAGGGGUUCUGAGAGGAAGGUCCCCCACAUUGGAACUGAGACACGGUCCAAACUCCUACGGGAGGCAGCAUG